AAGUGCGAAACGUGGUGCGAUGUGCACGAACCUGUGAGUCAUCGAGUUUUUGAACGCAGUCAGCGCCUGGACAUUCUAGGCAUGAGUGGAUGGGCGGGGCAUAACACCGUUUCUUUGUAUAGAGGAAGAGAUGAGGGAUAGCGGUGUGUUGUGAGGAGGAUGUGAUUGUCAUGAGAUUGACAUGAAAGUGAUUGAUCAAGUGAUUGACCAAGUGAUUGGUCAUCAGCCUCCUCAUACACCCCGCAACCCUUGAAAUAUAGAUCGGGACGGGAAAGAUGUCUGGUGAUGUGAUACGACCAUAUACGGUUCUUUUCACACUCUUCAUCCUUCCCCCCCCUAAUCAACACAGCCCCACCACCCACUCAGGAUUACCCGCUAAACUUAA
RNAcentral lists this unclassified non-coding RNA (385 nucleotides) under uncultured fungus. Its description in RNAcentral is "sequence contains ITS1". The stretch from base 1 to 99 matches the Rfam family "5.8S ribosomal RNA", at positions 51 to 154 of the family's 154-position model. The record is from RNAcentral. Lineage: Eukaryota; Fungi.